UGCCAGACUCCUACGGGAGGCAGCAGUGGGGGAUAUUGCACAAUGGGGGGAACCCUGAUGCAGCGACGCCGCGUGGGUGAAGGAGCGUUUCGGCGCGUAAAGCCCUAUCGGCAGGGAAGAAGGAGGACGGUACCUGACUAAGAAGCCCCGGCUAACUACGUGCCAGCAGCCGCGGUAAUACGUAGGGGGCAAGCGUUAUCCGGAUUUACUGGGUGUAAAGGGUGAGUAGGCGGCAUGGUAAGCCAGAUGUGAAAGCCAUGGGCUUAACCCGAGGAUUGCAUUGGGAACUAUCAAGCUAGAGUACAGGAGAGGAAAGCGGAAUUCCUAGGGUAGCGGUGAAAUGCGUAGAUAUUAGGAGGAACAUCAGUGGCGAAGGCGACUUUCUGGACUGUAACUGACGCUGAGGCACGAAAGUGUGGGGAGCAAACAGGAUUAGAUACCCCGGUAA
RNAcentral lists this ribosomal RNA (448 nucleotides) under uncultured bacterium. RNAcentral describes it as "partial 16S ribosomal RNA". It matches the Rfam family "Bacterial small subunit ribosomal RNA", at positions 329 to 793 of the family's 1533-position model. The record is from RNAcentral.